Selaginella moellendorffii is the source of this 979-nucleotide long non-coding RNA. RefSeq lists it as uncharacterized. Lineage: Eukaryota; Viridiplantae; Streptophyta; Lycopodiopsida; Selaginellales; Selaginellaceae. The transcript is spliced from 2 exons. The record is from RefSeq and is a predicted model, not a curated record.
UCUGUGUGGGCGCGCAGCCAAGCGCAGGAGACUCUGGCAACCUGAAUGCGCUGAUCGGUUGGGAGCAAGCGCGGGACGGUAGGCUGCUGCAGCUGGAUGCGCUGGGAUUCUGCCCGCUGCUUCCUCUCAAGUGGGACGUUAAAGGCCUGUUCUGUGGCCGGGUGAUCUUGACGAGGGGGCUGCUGCGAAAGCUCUCUCCUGUGAGCUGAAUAGUCGUGCUCCUCUUGGGACAAUAUGCGCUGUCUUCAGCAGCUUUGCUGAUGAGAGAAGCCAGGCCUCACGGCAUAGCGCUCUAUAGAGAAUGAGAACACUCCCAGAACAAUCCCCUGGGAUGGAUCUCACACAGGAUGGGAAAGAAAACUAAGAAAGCCCUAAACUGAAGGAAUGCGACUCAGAUCACGGCCCCCCAGAUGCUCCUCCAGCGCUGGCAGAGUCCAAGAUCGUGCGCCUGUCAGACUGCGACCAUCUCUUCCACACGCAUUGCAUCUUCUCCCCGAGUGACGGAUAUGUCUGAGCAGGGAGCUGUUCACCUUGGAAAACAGAGGUCAGGCUUAUGAGAAAAAAGGAAAUUUACUUCUGACAUUGUAGCGAUUCGCCAUACAAUUUUUGCUUCUGGCCUUGAUAUCGAUUUGGUUGCUUUGUUGUGCACCUCCAUCAUGGUCUCCAAGAGCGUUACUGUAAAGGAACAUGUGCGUUGCAGGGACCUGUGGUCGCCUGAGGAAGAUCAGAAGCUAUCAAGAACCAUGGACUUGGCCGAUUUUUAUAUUGGGAACCAUUGGCGUCGUGGUUGCCACAAGUCAAGCUCUGGGCUGCCGCUCUGACGCAACAAGCUGCUCGCUUUUGCGCUCCCACAUUAUUCUCGCUAGCUCCUGCCAAGAGGAUUUGGCUGAAUCCGAGUUUAGUGUGUUCUUGGGUCUUUUUCGCUUGCACGACGGUGGAUUAUAGCUCCCUGACGCAACAUGUCGCCAUGUUCUCCAAA